CAAGCGGUGGAGCAUGUGGUUUAAUUCGAUGCAACGCGAAGAAACUUAUCUGGUCUUGACAUCUAUAGAAUCUUGCAGAGAUGCGAGAGUGCUUUCGGGAACUGCGAGACAGGGGGUGCUUGGCUGCUGUCAGCGUCUCGUGUGAAAUGAUGGGUUAAUAAGUCCCGCGAGCGCACGUCCCUUAUCUUCUGUUGCUACCAUUGGGUUGGACACUCUGACAGAACCGCCUCGAUAUAACGGGAAGAAAGGUGGGAAUGACGUCAGUCCUCAUGGCCUUUAUGUCCAGGGCUACACACGUGCUACAAUGACCGAUACAAACCACUGCAACCCCGCGAGGGUGAGCUAAUCGGAAAAAGCCGGCCUCAGUUCAGAUUGAAGUCUGCAACUCAACUCCAUGAAUCUGGAAUCGCUAUUAAUCAUGGAUCAACAUGCCACGGUGAAUACGUUCCCGGGCCUUGUACACACC
RNAcentral lists this ribosomal RNA (466 nucleotides) under uncultured bacterium. Its description in RNAcentral is "bacterial SSU rRNA". It matches the Rfam family "Bacterial small subunit ribosomal RNA", at positions 926 to 1391 of the family's 1533-position model. The record is from RNAcentral.